UGGCACUCCAGAUGUUUUGGACUACACCUCCCAUGAUGCUUUGCCAGCAUUAUAGGGGAUGUAGUCCACAACAUCUGGAGUCCCG
Molecule: non-coding RNA, 85 nt
Organism: Pelobates cultripes (western spadefoot toad)
Lineage: Eukaryota; Metazoa; Chordata; Amphibia; Anura; Pelobatidae
Source: the annotation of a GenBank genome assembly